GACGAACGCUGGCGGCGUGCUUAACACAUGCAAGUCGAACGGUAAGGCCCUUCGGGGUACACGAGUGGCGAACGGGUGAGUAACACGUGGGUGAUCUGCCCUGCACUUCGGGAUAAGCCUGGGAAACUGGGUCUAAUACCGGAUAGGACCACUGCCUGCAUGGGUGGUGGUGGAAAGCUUUUGCGGUGUGGGAUGGGCCCGCGGCCUAUCAGCUUGUUGGUGGGGUGAUGGCCUACCAAGGCGACGACGGGUAGCCGGCCGGAGAGGGUGACCGGCCACACUGGGACUGAGAUACGGCCCAGACUCCUACGGGAGGCAGCAGUGGGGAAUAUUGCACAAUGGGCGCAAGCCCGAUGCAGCGACGCCGCGUGAGGGAUGACGGCCUUCGGGUUGUAAACCUCUUUCAGCACCGACGAAGCGCAAGUGACGGUAGGUGCAGAAGAAGGACCGGCCAACUACGUGCCAGCCGCCACAGUAA
RNAcentral lists this ribosomal RNA (478 nucleotides) under uncultured bacterium. RNAcentral's name for it is "partial 16S ribosomal RNA". It matches the Rfam family "Bacterial small subunit ribosomal RNA", at positions 28 to 523 of the family's 1533-position model. The record is from RNAcentral.